GGACAGGAAAGGGUGGAGCCUGGCUGCACCUCUCUUAGACCCUCCAUUUAAUGGCUGACCCCCACUGGGGAAGGGUCUCUAGUUGGAGAUCUUUCUCUUGUGAAGUCUUUCCUGUGAGCCUCAAUCUUCAGAGAUAGUAUUUCAACAGUGUUGUGCCUAGGUCUGCUGCCUUGCCCCUCGCAGUGUUUGUGUGCUAUCUCCAGCCUUGUUAACAGAAGACCAAUUUGCUGCUAAUGCCUCACCCUGACUUUCCUGCACCACCCAGUGCUCAUUUUCACCAGAGAAGCUGCAGGUGACUUCCAAGCAGGAUGCCUUGGCCAGCUCCAGCCUCCUUUGCAGCAGAGGUAUAGGUCCUGCAACAGAUUCACAUGGCUCUGAUGGGGACUCCAGAACGAUCUAUACAACUGUACGGGAACUGCUGAAUCACAGCCUGAAGCUCUGAUUGAUCAGCUGAGACAAGCACUGAGUGAAGGCAACCCACCUGUGUGACUGGAAGGGCUGGAGCCUGGCUCCACCUCUCCUGGACCCCAUUUAAGGGCUGACUGCCACUGGGGAAGGAUCUUUUUCUGGAUAUUGCUCUUCUUGGAGUUUUUCCUGCAAGCCUACAACAGC
This 612-nucleotide long non-coding RNA is filed under the name Gallus gallus (chicken). Lineage: Eukaryota; Metazoa; Chordata; Aves; Galliformes; Phasianidae. The record is from RNAcentral.